UCGGAUACUGAUGACUUAAAUGACUCUCUCUUUUCUGGUGAUGAAGAAAAUGCUGGAACUGAGGAUAUAAAGAAUGAGAUAAAUGGAAAAUGAAUUUCGGCAUCCUCCAUUAGCGAAGCUAGAAUUAAUGCCAAGGCAAAAAGGCGACUUUGGGAAAACUCAUCCCCAGCCUCUGGCAGAGGCGAUUCAGUCGGUGGUAAUGGAAGUGAAGCCCUUAGAAGUGGAGUAACUACCAAACAGUCCAAAGGGAAGGUUUCUAGAAAGGCAGUCCAGGGCUGGGAAAGGAUGGGCACUACCAGAGAAAGGUGGUGCGGGAGCGCAAGGUGUCUGGGGUGCACCUGGACAGGUGUAUGAUGCGGAGGCGAAUGCGUAAGAUCCUAACUAUGACGAUGACCACGAGAACUGUGUUUACGAAACUAGUUCUGCCUUGGAUGAAACGGCAUUGGAGAAGACUGUAACACCAUUCAUACAGGAGUAUUUUGAGCAGGAAGAUGCUAAUGAAGUUGUGGAAAUGCUAAGAGAUUUAAACCUUGGUGACAUGAAAAGUGAAGUACCAGUGUUGGCGGUGACCUUGGCAUUGGGAGGGAAAGGCUAGUCAUAGAGAAAUGACAUCUAAGCUUCUUUCUGACCAUUGUGGGACAGUAAUGAGCACAAAUGAUGUAGAAAAACCAUGUGAUAAAUUGUUGAAAGUUCUACCUGAAUUAGCAUUAGAUACUCCUAGAGCACCACAGUUGGUGGGCCAGUUUAUUGCUAGAGCUGUUGGAAAUGGAAUUUUAUGUAAGACCUAUAUUGAUAGUUAUUAAUACAAAGGAACUGUAGAUUGUGUACAGGCUAGAGCGGCUCUGGACGAGCCUACUGUGCUCCUGAGUUUGUCUAAAGGUGAAAAGCGCAAAGACAGCUGUGGGGCUCUGGAGGUGGGCAGCAGUCUGCUAUCACCUCCUUGAAGAGACUGACAUGCUGCUGAAAGAGUAUUUACUCCCUGGAGACAUAUCUGAAGCUGAACAUUGCCUUGAGGAACUGGAAGUACCUCAUUUUCACCGAUUAGCUAGUAGUGUGCGAAGACAUUGUAAUGGUUUUGGAGUCACUUGGAUAAAGUACGUUUAAGAUGAUUUUGGAUUUGUUAAUAUCCCCUUGGAAAUCUUUUACCAUUACUCUAGACCACACGAGAAGAGGUUAUGAGAAUUUAUAAUGAAGUUCCGGACAUUAAUCUGGAUGGCCCACAUUCAUACUCUGUGCUUGAACAAUUUGUAAAAUGUUUUCAGGCUGGAAUAGUUUCCAAACAACUCAGAGAUCUUCGUCCUUCAAGGGGCAGAAAACGUUUCUUAAGUGGAGAUGGAGGUUGUCUUAAACCAGAAAGCUACUGAAUAUAAGAACUUUUGCAGUCUUAGAUGUUAUAAAAAAUAGAUAUCUGAAUUGUAAGAGUUGUGGGCACAGAGUUGUUGUUUUUUUGGUUUUUUUUCCAAAGCACUUGUUUUGGGUA
Molecule: RNA transcript, 1480 nt
Organism: Rhinolophus ferrumequinum (greater horseshoe bat)
Lineage: Eukaryota; Metazoa; Chordata; Mammalia; Chiroptera; Rhinolophidae
Gene name: programmed cell death protein 4-like
Exons: 1
Source: RefSeq, a predicted model, not a curated record